AACGUGCUAGAACUUGUCCCCUUCCCCAUCCUCCCAGUCAGUUGGCCCCCAACGGCCGCCCACUCUCAGACACACUUUGAGGCCAGGCGGAGGGCACAGGCCGGGGCUGGCUCCCCAUGGGCUCUGCCCUGGAACCACAGCAGGUUCCCCUGCCCGGAGAUCAAGGGCAGCUCGAGGUUCACAGCCUGGGCCUCGUUUUUCAACUGAAAGAAAGCAAACUCAGAGAGAGGUUUACUUUCUUUGAAGAAACACAGAAGUACUUCUUGAAUAUGGACAUAUUAUAACCAAUUUUAUAGGAAAUAUUUAGCAGAGAAGAGGAUUUCUACAAGUGACCUGAAUCUAAGAAGACAAUCAGCAGGAAACUGUUUUGAGACCACACUCAGACCAGAGAGCAACAUCAGAUGGAUUCCUGAGAAUCAGACAGCUGUAUGAGAUGAAACUUCUGAGUUUUAAAUGGACAAUUUUAUUUUUUUACUGUCUUACCUUUUCCCUUUGUCUUUUAUCUGUAAGGUCUACUUACUAAAGGGAACUGCCCCCUUUGGUUUUGUCAAUGCAUCAAAUCAAUUUCUUCCCCUUUUCCCCUUACAAUGUUAUCCAUUAUAAACCCAAUACUUAAGAACCCUUAAUGAAGUGUUUAUAAUAUCACUUAGUGAUUCAUUGAGAUUUUAUCUUUUAAUUAGAACCAAAUGGGGAAAUGUGAGAAAUGAAUAUUUCUCCCAUGUUUAAUAAUUAACUAUUGUAUUAGGAGUAAAGUUUUUUCCCCUUUUCUACUUCCUCAUCCAGAAAUCAACAAGUGUGGGAAAUCUAUCUUAAAGAUUUAGCAAGGCCAAGAUCUAAUCAGACAGUAAAAGAAAUUCUAAGUUUGGGCUAAUGGUGAGUGUAUUCCUACUCAUUGCAUUUGCUCAGACAGGUGUGGGAAAAUGUUGAUUCUCCCUAUUAUCAAGAUAGAUGAUAUGGAAGUUGAUGUCUCUUUGACCAAGAUUUGAAUGAUCUAAGUCACAUACCCUAAGAACUUCAUUUUAAUAUAGCCUACACCUCCCAUUGUCUUAACCAAUCUGAGUUGAUUGCCAUCCUUCAGAAACACCUCCUCUUCAAGGGCAAAUAAACUGCGUCCCCACCACCACUAGAGGUCUUUGGUCUAAGAAAGAUGGACAAAUGACCAUCAUUUUUGUUAAUAACCUGCUGGCCUUAUUAAUAAAUGAUUAAAUUA
Long non-coding RNA from Phascolarctos cinereus (koala), 1210 nucleotides. RefSeq lists it as uncharacterized. The record is from RefSeq and is a predicted model, not a curated record. Lineage: Eukaryota; Metazoa; Chordata; Mammalia; Diprotodontia; Phascolarctidae.